RNAcentral lists this ribosomal RNA (401 nucleotides) under bacterium. RNAcentral's name for it is "partial 16S ribosomal RNA". It matches the Rfam family "Bacterial small subunit ribosomal RNA", at positions 355 to 776 of the family's 1533-position model. The record is from RNAcentral.
UGGGGAAUUUUGCACAAUGGGGGAAACCCUGAUGCAGCGACGCCGCGUGAUUUAGAAGGCCUUCGGGUUGUAAAAAUCUUUUCUAUGGGAAGAAAAUGACAGUACCAUAGGAAUAAGGACCGGCUAAUUACGUGCCAGCAGCCGCGGUAAUACGUAAGGUCCGAGCGUUGUCCGGAAUCAUUGGGCGUAAGGGUACGUAGGCGGGUAAGCAAGUUAGAAGUGAAAUCCUAUAGCUCAACUAUAGUAAGCUUUUAAAACUGCUCAUCUUGAGGUAUGGAAGGGAAAGUGGAAUUCCUAGUGUAGCGGUGAAAUGCGCAGAUAUUAGGAGGAAUACCGGUGGCGAAGGCGACUUUCUGGCCAUAACCUGACGCUGAGGUACGAAAGCGUGGGUAGCAAACAGG